This 497-nucleotide ribosomal RNA is filed under the name uncultured bacterium. RNAcentral describes it as "partial 16S ribosomal RNA". It matches the Rfam family "Bacterial small subunit ribosomal RNA", at positions 28 to 507 of the family's 1533-position model. The record is from RNAcentral.
GAUGAACGCUGGCGGCGUGCCUAAUACAUGCAAGUCGAGCGAACAGACGAGGAGCUUGCUCCUCUGACGUUAGCGGCGGACGGGUGAGUAACACGUGGAUAACCUACCUAUAAGACUGGGAUAACUUCGGGAAACCGGAGCUAAUACCGGAUAAUAUAUUGAACCGCAUGGUUCAAUAGUGAAAGACGGUUUUGCUGUCACUUAUAGAUGGAUCCGCGCCGCAUUAGCUAGUUGGUAAGGUAACGGCUUACCAAGGCAACGAUGCGUAGCCGACCUGAGAGGGUGAUCGGCCACACUGGAACUGAGACACGGUCCAGACUCCUACGGGAGGCAGCAGUAGGGAAUCGUCCGCAAUGGGCGAAAGCCUGACGGAGCAACGCCGCGUGAGUGAUGAAGGUCUUCGGAUCGUAAAACUCUGUUAUUAGGGAAGAACAAAUGUGUAAGUAACUAUGCACGGCUUGACGGUACCUAAUCAGAAAGCCACGGCUAACUACGUG